This 1092-nucleotide long non-coding RNA is filed under the name Citrus x clementina. Its description in RNAcentral is "Citrus clementina (C. clementina) long non-coding RNA (CCLE_LNC003392)". Lineage: Eukaryota; Viridiplantae; Streptophyta; Magnoliopsida; Sapindales; Rutaceae. The record is from RNAcentral.
AUUUAAGGGCGCUGAUGAUAUUUUCUCAAAUAUUGAGAGUGGAGAUGUUAUUUUCCGCAUCUAAUUUGACACGAUAUAAUUAAAACAAUUUAUUUUUUUUCUUUUAGAAAAUGAUACGUCACGAGAGAAAGAACCUUUUGUGGUGAGUAUGACAAGUAUUACGGUUGAUGACUUGACGUAGAAUUAAAUGUUUGGGAUUCACAAUCACAAGUAAAAUCACACGUGGCAUAAAUUUGGUCUAAAACAGCAAGCAGACAAAUGGCCAGAUAAGAACCAUUAGUUGAGCCUCAACUAAUUUCAAAAUGAGGUAUUAAAAGAGCUGCGUAACAAAUCUACGUCAAAAACCAAUCCAAAAGGGAAAAGCAGAUAUACACUUCUAUAUAUAUAUAUAUAUAUAUAUAAACCUAUCCAAAAGGGAAAAGCAGAUAUACACUUCUAUAUAAACGAAUGUAUGUAUGUAUGUGUGUGUGUAUAUAUAUUGUGUAUAUACACACACAAUGUAUAUACACACACAUAUAAAUAUAUAUGUCGAAAAGAAAAUAUAUGUAAACAAUGUAAAAAAGAUAAAAAAAUUUAUCAAUGUCAACUCUAGUUCCUCGGAUUUAAAAAUGAAUCCGAAAAUUUUUAAUUUGUGGGUUAGAAAGGACAAAUAAUGUAACAUUUAGGUAUCUAAUAUAUUGUUUCUAAACUCUAAUGAGAGAAACAAGAGCCACGCUCACUUUGUUUUUCCUAUUUUAAUGUUUAGUGCUUGAAAAAGUUGUUUAAUUUUUUUUUUUUUGACUUUUGAAAAACUAGUCACAUUUUUUCUUCCAUUUUUUUUUGGAAGUUGGUUAUAAGUGCCAUUUUUUUUUUUGUUAUUUUUAUUUUAGUGAGUAAAAAUUUUAAUAAUAAAAUAACUCGAGUUUGCCUAGUUAGUAUGCAGAAACGAGAAGAGGAAAACGAGAUUGUAUUGUUUAAUUAAGUUAUGUUUAAUUAAACUGCAAAAAAAAAAAAUCAUAUAAAAAAUUAUACCAAACAAACUCUAAUUUUGAAUUUAAAUCCUCUUACGUCUUACACAUUUUUACAAAAAAAUUAAAUUUUGUAUUUAAACCU